This 230-nucleotide ribosomal RNA is filed under the name uncultured Alicycliphilus sp. RNAcentral's name for it is "partial 16S ribosomal RNA". It matches the Rfam family "Bacterial small subunit ribosomal RNA", at positions 548 to 774 of the family's 1533-position model. Lineage: Bacteria; Pseudomonadati; Pseudomonadota; Betaproteobacteria; Burkholderiales; Comamonadaceae. The record is from RNAcentral.
AGAGAUGCAUUGGGCGUAAAGUGUGCGCAGGCGGUUUUGUAAGACAGAGGUGAAAUCCCCGGGCUCAACCUGGGAACUGCCUUUGUGACUGCAAGGCUGGAGUGCGGCAGAGGGGGAUGGAAUUCCGCGUGUAGCAGUGAAAUGCGUAGAUAUGCGGAGGAACGCCGAUGGCGAAGGCAAUCCCCUGGGCCUGCACUGACGCUCAUGCACGAAAGCGUGGGGAGCAAACA